AUGCAACUAUCGUUAAUGUUAUGAAAUUACUUAUAUCUUGGGUUGCUUGAGAUUCAGCAAGCAAUUUUGUAAUCAGGUGAUAAUUUUGACCAAAUUUUUUGGUGUUGUAGAGUGGAAAACAUGAUCUUUUUGCUUUGUUGAUUGUCAAAUGGGCAGAGAAAUUAUUUGGAGAAAAAGAUAAAAAAGGAAUUAAUUCGAGGGAAUUUGUUUAUGAAAUGCAAUUCCUUGUUUGAUGUUGUACUAGUGUCUUUUGCAUUGCAGGCUUGAAUCUCGUAGGAAGAGACCUUUUGGCCCAAGGCCAAAUUAAAGAGGAAGCCGUGCAGUACCAGCUCAUUGAAGUACAAUGAUCAACCACAUCCAGAUUAUGGAAUGGAGGUUAUGUUCAAGUUUGCAGGGUUCGACCCAUUUGAGAGGUCAACCUAUUUUGGACCCUUCUUUGAUUUGGGAAAGUUUGAAGGAUUUAGGCGGAUUUUUCACCAUUCAACCUACCGUGUUUUGCUUGGGCAUAGAGAGAGCAAAAUCCUAAGCAGUUUGUUGGUGAAAGAGCUUUGAAUUUUCAGUGUUUAGUAACUAAAUGAUGUUCUAAUUUCAAGUGAGCUCACCAGUUGAUGCGUGCAUCAUGUCUAGACAUACUUUCUAAUCAAUUCAAGCAGCGAGUUUGGAUACGAGGAAAUCGCCCAGAGGAAGAAGAAAUAUUUCAAUUUACCAUGGUUCAGAGAGUUGGUGGUUCAUGGGAUGGUUAUUGGCUGACAGAGUCUCUUUUAAACGAUGGAGAUGCUUUUGUGGGUGGUCUAGCCUACUAAAUUGCAAAUGCAGAUGGGAAUGAGAUGAUGAACUACUUGCAGUCAUGUUGAAGAAUUUCAUUGUUUGCUUAUUCGACCUCAGAAUUGUGUACAUAUUGUAAUAAACUGAUGUUGUGCUGAGCUCAACUGAUUGUUGUAAAUGAAAGCUGUAUAUAUUAUUCUUAAGGGAAAGGGAUCAGUAUUUGCUUCU
This is an RNA transcript of Hevea brasiliensis (rubber tree), 993 nucleotides long. RefSeq lists it as uncharacterized. The record is from RefSeq and is a predicted model, not a curated record. Lineage: Eukaryota; Viridiplantae; Streptophyta; Magnoliopsida; Malpighiales; Euphorbiaceae. The transcript has 6 exons.